Corvus moneduloides (New Caledonian crow) is the source of this 413-nucleotide long non-coding RNA. The record is from Ensembl. Lineage: Eukaryota; Metazoa; Chordata; Aves; Passeriformes; Corvidae.
CAGCCUGAGAACCUGUGCACCUGAGAACUGGUGCACACCUGGGGCUCGUUAGGCGCAUUAUCGACUCUACCACCACCCUCCGGUAUAACAGGGUGGCUCUUGGUGCUCACAGGGAGCAGGUGGAGUUGUGUGAGGGACGUGGCUGCCACAGCUCCAGCCUCGGCUACCUAAGGAAAAACAGGAGUGUCCUGAACAGACAGCAAAGGCCAAGAGUGAGAACAAGGCUUCCCAUCACAUACGGGAAGGUGAAGCGUUCAGGCAGCUUGGCAGAAACUCAAGGGAACAGAAGAAUUAAGUGUAUUUUUUUUGGUGAAGUUUUGAGAUCCCUGUACAAAGUUUUGGAUUUGAGUAGCCACAGUACGUCUGAAUUGAUCAUUUACCACCAGCAUCAUCUCUGUUUUGGAUAUCUUUGA